This 698-nucleotide long non-coding RNA is filed under the name Sinocyclocheilus anshuiensis. RNAcentral's name for it is "lncRNA (ENSSANG00000023915.1)". Lineage: Eukaryota; Metazoa; Chordata; Actinopteri; Cypriniformes; Cyprinidae. The record is from RNAcentral.
CCAGAACCUUGUUGUUUCCGGAAUCAUCUCUGACCUUCUCUCUUUUGUCCACUCCACAGGUUCUUGUGUGAGAGCUGAGGCCUUUCCCAGACACAACAGAAACCAGAGGCUGUGGUUGAUCUCAUGACUUCCUCCUCAUUGUUUGCCUGUCUGUGUGACUGGAAACCGGCAGUGACGGACAGAUGACUCCGGUCACUCUUAAACCAGGCUUGUGGAGAAACUGGACCUGGCUCCCCUUUAGAAGUAGUGACUAAUAAAGGCCGACGGCAGAGCGCCGUGCUUUUCCCACACUUCUGAGGCAGCGUAACCUGUCAUGCUGACCUUGUUGCUCAACUCUGCUUUCAGCUUGAUGUCCAAAUUAUACCAGCACACUGCUGUCAAGUUGCUGAAGUGGUUUACACACAAUCCUGCACCCAGUGGUCAUUGGGGUCUUCAUUCGCUAACGCUCUGAUGACAUCUGACACAUCAGUGAUAGGAUUUGGGCCCCGUAUGCUGGAUUAGCCCCAUUUGGUUAGCAAGGCAUUAUUCCAUUAUGAGUCCUGAGAGCCCACCAGCUGAUGCUGCGUCUGUCCCGCUGCCUGAAUGCAGAAAUCCAGAAGCGAACGCAUGAAUGGCACGAAGACGGGCAGCCGUGCUCUUCACACGUCCUCCAACAACCUUGCUGAUUCUAACUCUGGAAAAUAAUUACUAUCCACUUC